Non-coding RNA from Chelonoidis abingdonii (Abingdon island giant tortoise), 544 nucleotides. NCBI's taxonomy places the organism in Eukaryota, Metazoa, Chordata, Testudines, Testudinidae. The record is from RefSeq and is a predicted model, not a curated record.
GAUAUCGACAUCAGACCGGGUCUGUACGCAGCGUCAUUAGGUGACCGGGGGCAACACCCUGCUCAGGGCUUCACCGACCGGCUGAACGCGAGCUGUCGCAGAAAACGCCCCCAGCAUGCGCCUCAAACUCAUCGCAGCAACAGCACCAUGGAGCGGAGAUUCAGCCCCUGGAUUGGGGGUCCAUCUCGCCUCGCGGGGCACGUUCCAGCAGAUGUGGAUCUCCAAGCAGGAGUACGAGGCAGGGCGGGAAGCAGUGCGUGGAGCGGAAAUGCCCCUGAUGCAGCCGGCACCCCUGCGGUGGGCUGGGGCCCAGGGUCAUCUUCCGUGGGGGUUCCCCCUCCGCACUCACCCCUCUCCAAGCUGUUGUCCAACCAUUGUGCUCACAACACCUUUUUGGCUGGGGAGAGAUCCAAUCCCCCCAUCCACAGCCCCCAUGGGCUGUGCCGUUCCCCCCCCCUCCCCCCGGUGUCCCUCGCUAGCUCGUUCCGUGGUUCGUUAAUUGGGUCGGUUCAUUUUCAUGGUGCGAAUGUGGCUAUGCUGGAAU